AUGUGACGCUGCGAAGUGCACCUCCCUUUCUCAAAUCGGAGGGAUCUGGUCCUCACUGCACAGCCCGCUGCGCAUGUCGGUGUCCUCUCACAUACACACCCGCGGGGGGUUUCCAGAGCAUCGCGCCUCUUCCAGCCCAGGGAGCCGUCUGCUAUGCUAAACUCUAUGGGAACUGAGACAUCCACCUGCUGCGUGGCCCACCCGUGCGCAACUUCAGAGCUUCAGGGGGUGAUGCGGGCUGUGGCUCCUCCUUGAAAAUGUCACCCUCUACAGCUCCUUUCUUGUGAUAUAGAAGUUGACUC
Molecule: long non-coding RNA, 302 nt
Filed under: Pongo abelii (Sumatran orangutan)
Lineage: Eukaryota; Metazoa; Chordata; Mammalia; Primates; Hominidae
Description: lincRNA
Source: RNAcentral